AGGCGAGGCGACUCGUUAUUAGUUUCCAGAAAAUCGUGUCGUCAUUAACUUGUUAGUGUUAUUAUGUGAGAUAACCAAGUACUUAACCACAGUACCAGAUAUAAUAGAAACUAUUGUUAAUUCAGUUUUGUUUCUUAUUAAUCAGAGAACAGAAGGAUGAACAAAGCUUACAGACCAAAAUCUAAAAUUGGAAAUUAAUGAUGCACUGCAAUUUCAGGUGAUUUCCGGUUCCGAUUUGUGUAAGAGGAUUUCUUUUGAUUGUCCACUUCACGAAUUGAAUUGACUGAAACAUCAUCCAAGCUCAAUUUAGAUUUUGGAGGCGAUAGCAAAUUAAGAAUUCACCAGGUGGGAAAAUGGUUCAUUCAAAGUUAACAGCAAACACACAUUUGAUUUGUUUUUAAAAAGGAAGUCCAUGCUGUCCUAUAAAAUAUUCUACCUCAGUUUCCUCAAGUCCUUAAGGCUCAUAACAGCCAUAACAGGUAAUAUUUCGCGCUGUUUGGUGUUUCAAACGUGGGACCAUCAAUCAACCUAAGAACAAAGCCCCUGGUUUUUCCUCAAGAAGCUGGUUUUAACCAAUUCGAAAAGGUACUUUGCAAUAAAUAAUAAACCGGAUUUCAAGCCAUAUAUACACCGUUUCUGCAGCUUGCACCUGAUCUGGCAGGCCGUCGGAACUCUAUUAAGUUUAUCUGAGAACCAUCGGUACUUUGCCUAGACAGCGUCCUGGAGAAACUACUACUCCACUGCACCGCCUUCGAAGAAAUUAUGUGGUGUGUACAUUCCCCUUUCGAUAACUAAAGGAUUCGAAGAACUCUCUUCAUUUUCUAGGAUACUUUCUGAGGUAGCGUUCGGUCUUUUUUUGUCUACAUCUGCAAUCUACAUCUUCUCUCAGUGUCUAGAAAAAAAAAUGGUGGAAUUUCGAUUCUAUCAAAGACACUUACACCAUCUAGUGGACAUAGUUUUUAGCCAACGAGUGAUCUAAUGGCAAUACAUUUUAUAGCUGGAAAAAUGAUGUCCAGUUCCAGUAAAAGAAAAGAAACCAUGAAGAUCCCACACAUCACAGAUCAUUUAAAUUUUAGUCAGACCACGUUAAAAAGGAUUGGAAGCUGGUGUCGUCUGCAUCUCCGAGGCCGUAGUACCGUAAUCCGUGUUGAGCUUUUAUCUUAUAGGACGAGACUACGAGAUCUUUAGCCUAACUAGUAACUACGGUACUGAGGAAAAAUUGUAAGUGACGAAAAAUAAUAGGAAAAAUUUCAAAUGAGGAACAAGUCCUUUUCUGAUUGUUAUUCUUGCAACGGCUGAUGCUUCGUAAGUUCUUAACGAAAGGAAAUUUUGGAAAAAUUAUCUCAAAAAAUAAAAAUCACCAUAAAUUCAUACUGGUGCACCAGCCAAUCAUGAAGUCAUUACUGCGCGCCGAGGGCAAUAAUAGUUUUUCGGGAUCCGUGAACAGAUAUAAACUUUUUCGCCAUUUUACAAAGAAUUCAGAAAACGGGGUCAACAUUAAAUAGUAGUGUCAAAAUGAUGAUUGAUCUACAAAUUUGUGUUUAAAAUGUCUGUUGGGAUCAGCUAAUACUUACCUUGUUUUUGACUCUUUUACAUUUGCAAUAACGAACACCGUCUCACUUAGGAAGAAUCCUAAGUUCUUGUCUAAGUUGAAGUCUGCACAUCCAACACAAGAAAUAAGAAUAAAGAAUCAGAUAGACCUCGGAAUAAUAAGGAAAUGAAAAGAGUGUUUAUUACAAAACGAUUAGAAAAAAGACAGCAGAUUACGGUCGCAAAGGAGCCAGCCCCAACUUAGCUCGCAAGGCAUUCGCUUCUGCAAUUUCAGGAUCGAUGGCAGCACUGGAACUGCUACUCUUUUUGCUAUCUUUCUUUUUGUUGUUGUACUUGUCACGAUCUUCGCCUCUUUUGCUUCGAUCUCGUUCUGAUUCACGAUCUUUCCCGCGGUCCUUGCGGUCUCUACGAUCCCUGUCUUGGUCUCUUCUGUAGUCACGCGAACGUUCGACUGAGCGGCUUCGCUGGCGGCGACUUCGAUCCCUUUCUCUUUCACGACUGCGGUCCCUGUCACGCUCACGGCUGCGAUUCCUUUUGUCACGACUUCGACUUCUGUCUCUAUGUCGAUCACGUCUUUCCCUACUUCUCUCUCGUUCACGUUCUUUAUCCCUAUUACGACGAGAACGUUCCCGUUCUCGAUCACUGUCCUGCUUUGAACGCGAUGUAGUAGGAGGGGGCGACAACGAACCUCCUUUCCUUUCACCCUCUUCUUCUUCACUUUCUGAAUCUUCUUCCUCCAAGUCUUCUUCCAAAGCUGAUACUCUCGGCUCAACUUCAUUAGCUUCUUCCAGAAUUUGACGUUUCUGAAAGUAAAAUAAACCGUAUUUAAUCAGUAUUUUUUAGGUUGAAUACUAAUUCACAUUUAUACCUGAAGUCUGGGCAGGAUAACAUCACAAAAACGCUCUUCUCUCAGUAAACUAUCAAUGAAAUCAUCCAUGUAAAGAAGCUCAAAAUCUAAAUAAAACCACAUGUUAAUUUGCA
This is a long non-coding RNA of Daphnia pulex (common water flea), 2532 nucleotides long. RefSeq lists it as uncharacterized. The record is from RefSeq and is a predicted model, not a curated record. Lineage: Eukaryota; Metazoa; Arthropoda; Branchiopoda; Diplostraca; Daphniidae. The transcript is spliced from 4 exons.